Mercenaria mercenaria is the source of this 344-nucleotide long non-coding RNA. RefSeq lists it as uncharacterized. The transcript has 4 exons. NCBI's taxonomy places the organism in Eukaryota, Metazoa, Mollusca, Bivalvia, Venerida, Veneridae. The record is from RefSeq and is a predicted model, not a curated record.
AGUUACGAACAAUCUGUGCGACGUAUAUACAAGAAUCAACCCAUGCGGCUUGACCAAGUGUAUAACAGACCACGGAAAACCAGCCUGUCGACCGCUAGAGCCACCAGCCGAAAAUAACAAGAGUCGUAAGAUAUUGGUCAUAUCGUUGGCAGUCGGCAUCCCAGUUGUAUUUCUAAUUGUUAUUAUGGUAACUGUGUGGCUAUGUGUGCGAAAGAAGGAGAAUUAAAAGGACAACUCAUUGGUCAACGACAACGUACAGUUAAGAUGUAUCUAGCAGCUCAAAUGGUAAUUAAUACGUUCAGACGUUGUGCACGAAGACGGGUUAUCUGUUGGUAUAGUGUGAA